UCGAGAAUCAUUCACAAUGGGGGAAACCCUGAUGGUGCGACGCCGCGUGGAGGAUGAAGGUCUUCGGAUUGUAAACUCCUGUCAUCCGGGAGUAAGACCUGACGGUGAACAGCCGGCAGGGUGGAUAGUACCGGAAGAGGAAGGGACGGCUAACUUCGUGCCAGCAGCCGCGGUAAUACGAAGGUCCCAAGCGUUGUUCGGAAUCACUGGGCGUAAAGGGUGCGUAGGCGGUCUUGCAAGUCGGGCGUGAAAUCCCGGGGCUCAACCCCGGAACUGCGCUCGAGACUGCAAGGCUAGAGGAUCGGAGAGGAGACUGGAAUUCUCGGUGUAGCAGUGAAAUGCGUAGAUAUCGAGAGGAACACUCGUGGCGAAGGCGAGUCUCUGGACGAUUCCUGACGCUGAGGCACGAAGGCCAGGGUAGCGAAAG
This 427-nucleotide ribosomal RNA is filed under the name uncultured prokaryote. RNAcentral describes it as "bacterial SSU rRNA". It matches the Rfam family "Bacterial small subunit ribosomal RNA", at positions 355 to 774 of the family's 1533-position model. The record is from RNAcentral.